GGGUCAGUAGGUUGGUCGUGCCACCGGUACGUACUGGUCUCACUGAUUCCUCCUUCCUGAAGAACCGUAAUGCCACUAAUUUGGUGUUGCGGGGAAACAGGACUGUUACUUUGAAAAAAUUAGAGUGUUUAAAGCAAGCUAACACUUGAAUACAUUAGCAUGGAAUAAUGAAAUAGGACGAUCGAUCCUAUUUUGUUGGUUUCUAGGAUUGACGUA
RNAcentral lists this ribosomal RNA (216 nucleotides) under Glomeromycotina sp. RNAcentral describes it as "partial small subunit ribosomal RNA". The stretch from base 40 to 216 matches the Rfam family "Eukaryotic small subunit ribosomal RNA", at positions 686 to 864 of the family's 1831-position model. Lineage: Eukaryota; Fungi; Glomeromycota. The record is from RNAcentral.